RNAcentral lists this long non-coding RNA (1009 nucleotides) under Sus scrofa (pig). Its description in RNAcentral is "lncRNA (ENSSSCG00070000638.1)". Lineage: Eukaryota; Metazoa; Chordata; Mammalia; Artiodactyla; Suidae. The record is from RNAcentral.
GCACUGGCUCUGGCUCCUGGCCCAGUGCCCGUGCCCGCGGUGCUGAGAGAAGGGAUGGAGACGCAGCUCCGCCCGGGAGGACGGGAGCCAGGGCAGAGGAGGCGGGUGAGCCAAGGCAGAGUUAUGUGGGGGGUGGGGGUGGGGGGGACGCGGGUUCCCCCAUGAGUUUCUGCGGGAUGCUGACCCACCCAGCCCAGCCCUCGGCCUCCAGCACCCCCUCCUGUGGGCAGGGCUUCCUCUGCCCACACCUCCUCCACUCCCUCUCGUCUCCCCUGCGGCUCCUGCUGCAGCCCCUCGGCCUGCCCUGAUGGACAACCAGCCGGCACGGGUGAGGCCGCCCUCCUUGCUGGCCGCUGUGACAGUGGGUGUGUAAGUACCCUCCCCAGGGACCCUCUGCUCACGUACGUAUGUGACAGCCACUACCCCACCGUGGGCUGUGCACCCCGGGCCACCUCCCAUGCUGCAUAGUGAGGCUGUCUCGUAACGCAGCCCCUGCUGGCAGGGUCUAGACAGGCUGCCCUACACAGCCCUGCAAACCCUGGCCUAGCCGUGGGCUGACCGGGCCUUGUCACCCCCUACCCCCAUCUGCCUGGCCACAGCUCGCUCUGCUGGCCCUGCAACCGUGCUUGUUCCCCAGGCCUGGCUUGCAGGCCGCUGUGAACACCGACAGGAGACUUCAGACACCUGCUUAAUCGCAGCUGUGAGCGGCUCCUUCCCAGGCACGGGCUCCAAGCCCAGGCCUUUCUUCUCCAGGCCUGAGGCCCUUGUGUGAUGCGUUUGAAGACCGGGCUUUGUCUGGAAGGAGGCACGACCCGUGCCCCAGCCCUGGAUGCAGGAACCGCCCAGGCCUCCGGGUUUCUCUUCCUGGAACCCUCCACGGCUCCCUCGUGCUGCUGAGUGGGGAUGAGAUGGGGCCUUAGGGGGACCUGACCCUGCUCAGCCCUGCUUGUUAAGGGGGACAGCUGCCUCCACCACCGAGAAGGCCGAGGAAGCGCCUCCAGCUCCCACG